UUUGGGGGGGGGGGGGGCCCUCAGCCUGAAUUGUGAGAGGCACAGGCCAGGCUGAGGGACCUCACUGGUGCAUG
RNAcentral lists this microRNA precursor (74 nucleotides) under Myotis brandtii (Brandt's bat). Its description in RNAcentral is "mir-9193 microRNA precursor family". It matches the Rfam family "mir-9193 microRNA precursor family". The record is from Rfam by way of RNAcentral. Lineage: Eukaryota; Metazoa; Chordata; Mammalia; Chiroptera; Vespertilionidae.